UGCGGAAGGAUCAUUGUUGAGAUCUGAGGAUAAAUGACUAGAGAACCAAGAUUUUCAUAUUGUGUUGAUCCAAUAAAAGAUGCAACUCGUGAGAUUAAUCUCUUGAUUGUCUUCUUUGUUGGGUGGAACAUAGCCAUGCCACCGCUCUAUGGUUGCGGGGGAAGGCAAAUGAUUUUGGGCACGGCAUGUGUCAAGGGUAAAAAGUAUGCUCAUUGCGGCGCAGCCCCGGUUGCGGUUUGCAAUGUGCUUGAACAAUUCAAUGCAUGUGUGUCAUGCCCUGGUAUGACAUUUCCAUGUAUUAAGAGAUAUGACUCUCGGCAACGGAUAUCUAGGCUCUUGCAUCGAUGAAGAACGUAGCGAAAUGCGAUACUUGGUGUGAAUUGCAGAAUCCCGUGAACCAUCGAGUCUUUGAACGCAAGUUGCGCCCAAGACCUUUUGGUUAAGGGCACGCCUGCCUGGGUGUCACACCAUAUGUUGCUCCUUCUAAUCCAUGUUAUGGGUUAGAUGGAAGCGAAAGUUGGUUCUCCGUGCUUUUGUAGUUGUGGUGAACUGAAGUAUGAGAUGCCGAUGGAGAAAUCAUGAAACGACUAGUGGUGGGCAGAAGAGUGUCUUCGUGUGGCCGAUGUCGUUUGCUCCAUUGUGCAUUCUCUUUCACCAAGGGACCCUUGAAUGUUGGAUUGUGCUGCAAUCACUUGUGGUUGCUAGCAAUGAUCUUCCUUGUGUUGCAACCCCAGGUCAGACGGGACCACCCGCUGAGUUUAAGCAUACAA
RNAcentral lists this ribosomal RNA (770 nucleotides) under Burmannia sp. Dessein 1021. Its description in RNAcentral is "eukaryotic LSU rRNA". The stretch from base 310 to 465 matches the Rfam family "5.8S ribosomal RNA". The record is from RNAcentral. Lineage: Eukaryota; Viridiplantae; Streptophyta; Magnoliopsida; Dioscoreales; Burmanniaceae.